RNAcentral lists this transfer-messenger RNA (407 nucleotides) under Patescibacteria group. Its description in RNAcentral is "HK-STAS-PATE-2 sp023898425 Standard tmRNA". It matches the Rfam family "transfer-messenger RNA". From Rfam's summary of the family: Bacterial tmRNA, also known as 10Sa RNA or SsrA, is named for its dual tRNA and mRNA-like properties. Its role is to liberate the mRNA from a stalled ribosome. To accomplish this part of the tmRNA is used as a reading frame that ends in a translation stop signal. The record is from RNAcentral. RNAcentral also lists the same sequence under 3 other names.
GGGGAUGAAUCAGCAUCGACGUUUAGUCCAUUCACAUCUUUGCAAGCCGAGCCUGUAAAACCGCUCGUAAAUAUCGUUUUACACAUGACAAUUGCCAACGUCAUUUCCAAGGUUCGCGAAACGGUUGCUCACGCAUUCCGUGCUCCAGCCUUUGUUCCGACCUUCGCUUAACGCGAAUACCUUCGGACCGGUCCUUGCUUAAGCGCCUUCUUAAGCAAACGGCUGUUAUACUUCGAGGCUAGCUCCAAGUGCCCAUGCUCGGCACAAGGAGGACAGGCUUGAGCAUCCAUCUAGAUGAUCUUGUUCUUUUAUCCCAUCUAGACUAGCUCUUAGAAAGAACUAAGCUUGUGAGCGAAAAGGGUGAUUAGGUUAGACGGACGGGGGUGCGAUACCCCCCAUCUCCACCA